Molecule: unclassified non-coding RNA, 248 nt
Filed under: Chelonus insularis
Lineage: Eukaryota; Metazoa; Arthropoda; Insecta; Hymenoptera; Braconidae
Description: transcription factor Adf-1-like, transcript variant X1
Source: RNAcentral
CUUUGUUCUGUGUACAUCUGUUUUGGUUACUUUAAAUCUUCUGUGAUUUCUGUAGAUGUAUUAAAUUUUUUUUAUCAUCGAGAUCAAUGGAAAUCUUCAUAGACAUACUCUCACAAUUGUCAAUCACGAUGGAAAAGGUUGAGAGGGUAUUUUUCUAAAGAUAGAAAGAAAAGAGGAGACGAAGCAAGAAGUGGUAGCAAGGGAGAGGUUCGAAAGCCUUGGCCACUAUAUAAAGUGAUAAAUUUUUU